AGUGAACGCUGGCGGCAGGCCUAACACAUGCAAGUCGAACGGCAGCACGGUCGUAGCAAUACGAUGGGUGGCGAGUGGCGGACGGGUGAGGAAUACAUCGGAAUCUACCUUGUCGUGGGGGAUAACGUAGGGAAACUUACGCUAAUACCGCAUACGAACCAUGGUUGAAAGCGGCGGACCGCAAGGCGUCGCGCGAUUGGAUGAGCCGAUGUCCGAUUAGCUAGUUGGCGGGGUAAAGGCUCACCAAGGCGACGAUCAGUAGCAGGUCUGAGAGGAUGAUCCGUCACACUGGAACUGAGACACGGUCCAGACUCCUACGGGAGGCAGCAGUGGGGAAUUUUGGACAAUGGGGGCAACCCUGAUCCAGCCAUUCCGCGUGAGUGAAGAAGGCCUUCGGGUUGUAAAGCCCUUUUGUCCGGAAAGAAAAGCACGGGAUUAAUACCCUCGUGUGAUGACGGUACCGAAAGAAUAAGCACCGGCUAACUUCGUGCCAGCAGCCGCGGUAAUACGAAGGGUGCAAGCGUUACUCGGAACUACUGGGCGUAAAGCGUGCGUAGGUGGUGCGUUAAGUCUGUCGUGAAAUCCCCGGGCUCAACCUGGGAAUGGCGAUGGAUACUGGCGCGCUAGAGUGAGGUAGAGGAGAGUGGAAUUCCCGGUGUAGCAGUGAAAUGCGUAGAGAUCGGGAGGAACAUCAGUUGCGAAGGCGGCUCUCUGGACCAUCACUGACACUGAGGCACGAAAGCGUGGGGAGCAAACAGGAUUAGAUACCCUGGUAGUCCACGCCCUAAACGAUGCGAACUGGACGUUGGGCUCAAUUGAGAGCUCAGUGUCGAAGCUAACGCGUUAAGUUCGCCGCCUGGGGAGUACGGUCGCAAGACUG
Molecule: ribosomal RNA, 880 nt
Filed under: uncultured bacterium
Lineage: Bacteria
Description: bacterial SSU rRNA
Rfam family: Bacterial small subunit ribosomal RNA
Source: RNAcentral